GAUGAACGCUGGCGGCGUGCUUAACACAUGCAAGUCGAACGAUGAAGCCCAGCUUGCUGGGUGGAUUAGUGGCGAACGGGUGAGUAACACGUGAGUAACCUGCCCUUAACUCUGGGAUAAGCCUGGGAAACUGGGUCUAAUACCGGAUAGGAGCGUCUACCGCAUGGUGGGUGUUGGAAAGAUUUAUCGGUUUUGGAUGGACUCGCGGCCUAUCAGCUUGUUGGUGAGGUAAUGGCUCACCAAGGCGACGACGGGUAGCCGGCCUGAGAGGGUGACCGGCCACACUGGGACUGAGACACGGCCCAGACUCCUACGGGAGGCAGCAGUGGGGAAUAUUGCACAAUGGGCGCAAGCCUGAUGCAGCGACGCCGCGUGAGGGAUGACGGCCUUCGGGUUGUAAACCUCUUUCAGUAGGGAAGAAGCGAAAGUAACGGUACCUGCAGAAGAAGCACCGGCUAACUACGUG
This 466-nucleotide ribosomal RNA is filed under the name uncultured bacterium. Its description in RNAcentral is "partial 16S ribosomal RNA". It matches the Rfam family "Bacterial small subunit ribosomal RNA", at positions 28 to 507 of the family's 1533-position model. The record is from RNAcentral.